AACGAACGCUGGCGGCAGGCUUAGCACAUGCAAGUCGAACGCCACCUUCGGGUGGAGUGGCAGACGGGUGAGUAACGCGUGGAAACAUACCUUUUGCUUCGGAAUAUCCCCGGGAAACUGGGAGCAAUACCGAAUGUGCCCUGAGGGGGAAAGAUUUAUCGGCAAAAGAUUGGUCCGCGUUAGAUUAGGUAGUUGGUAGGGUAAAGGCCUACCAAGCCUACGAUCUAUAGCUGGUCUGAGAGGAUGAUCAGCCACAUUGGGACUGAGACACGGCCCAAACUCCUACGGGAGGCAGCAGUGGGGAAUAUUGGACAAUAGGCGCAAGCCUGAUCCAGCCAUGCCGCGUGAAUGAUGAAGGCCUUAGGGUUGUAAAAUUCUUUCACCGGGGACGAUAAUGACGGUACCCGGAGAAGAAGCCCCGGCUAACUUCGUGCCAGCCGCCGCAGUAA
RNAcentral lists this ribosomal RNA (449 nucleotides) under uncultured bacterium. RNAcentral's name for it is "partial 16S ribosomal RNA". It matches the Rfam family "Bacterial small subunit ribosomal RNA", at positions 29 to 523 of the family's 1533-position model. The record is from RNAcentral.